ACGGCUGCCUCCACCCGAAGUGGGAGUGGGAGUGAGAGUCCCUCUUACCAGCCCUCAACUAGGGAGAGCGUAAAAGUUUGUCUCAAGCGUUCCGAGCGCCCCAAGGCAGAUUGCCAGAAUUUGCUGCUUCCCACCUUUCCUCAAGACUUGUAGAAGUAAUGGACAGUAACAGUCUAAGACAAAUCAGCUCCUUCCUGUAAAAUAGAACAAGGGAACCAAGAGUCCUGAGAAAGCUGUGGCAAAUAUUUUUAUUGGCAUAGAGAGAAGAGCAGUUAAUAAGCUACUUAAUUGGCUUUAGAAACACUUUUAAUGGAAAAAUUUCUAGAAUUGAUGGCAUAUAGCAGAACAUGUAUAUUGUGGCCAUGGAAUGGUGUAGCAGAUUGCUGCAGAUGGUUUCAAUAGUUCUGCUGAAUGCUCCUUGUUUGUGCCUGCAAGAGGAACUCAAGGCUUUAUGUAUGGCCAUUGCUGUGACCUAGUGUGAUGCUCUACUUUUCCACUGAACUCUGCUUGCUCUAACUGAGGACCUUAGCUAUAAUUUAGCCUUUUCUUUUUAUAUUAAGCUGUUGUUGAGGAAGGAGCUUUGGCAAUAGAAGAAACCAAGCAGCAGGUUAAUUUCCACUGUUGACACAACUGGAAACGGAUCCCUACUUUAUGCAUUGGAGAUGCUAUGAAGACUACUCUGUCUGAUGUUUCCCUAUUGGGAUAGUGAAGUAUGAUGCUUCAUUGGUUGAGUGUAUGCAAUCAAAGUAAGAGUGAAAAAGGAAGAUCUGAGGAGUGGGCAGAUGCCUGCCGGGUAAACUAUUUGUGGCAUAAACUUGAGGACCCCACAGGAAAGCCAGAUGUUGUCAUGUGCUUCAAACCACAAUUCUGCUAUUGAAUGGGGGAUUACUGGUCAGUGACUAGCCAAAAUGGUGAGCUUCAUGUGCUGAGAGAACUACCUAUCUCAAAAAAAUAAGGUGAAAGGGCUAGAGAGGUGGCAAAGUAGCACUGACUGAUCUCUCAGAGGAGAACGUGGAUUCAACUCCUAGCACCCACAUAGCAGCCAACAACCAUCUGUAACUCCAGUCUCAGGGGAUUUAGUGCCUUCUUAUAUCCUCAGUGAACACUGCACAUAUAUUGUGCAUAGACAUACAUUCAGUCAAACAAACACUCAGACACAUAAAAAUAAAUGAAAUCUCAAAAUAUUUUAAAAAGAUAAUGUGGAGGGUGAUUGAGGCCUUAUAUUAAUCUUUAGACUUUACAAAAUGAGUUUUACACACACACACACACACAGAAAACACACAAACACACUAUAUGUACACACACAUAUAUACACUGACACACACACUUGAAAAAUUGUUAUUGCUUAAAAUUUUUUUGAUAACUUGUCUCAGAAUUUUUAUUAUUGAUUUUAUUAUAAUAUUAAUUUUUAGUCUACAGUAAAUCUUUAUGCUGGAACUAGACUUCAGGAUUAUUAUAAGAUAUAUUUAAUGUAUAAAUUUGAGUUCAUAAUUGUGAGAAUAAUUCUUUUAUGGUUGUGGUAAUAAAGUAUCAUUAUCUUCUUA
Molecule: long non-coding RNA, 1544 nt
Filed under: Mus musculus (house mouse)
Lineage: Eukaryota; Metazoa; Chordata; Mammalia; Rodentia; Muridae
Description: RIKEN cDNA A830082K12 gene
Source: RNAcentral